Molecule: long non-coding RNA, 507 nt
Organism: Hippocampus zosterae (dwarf seahorse)
Lineage: Eukaryota; Metazoa; Chordata; Actinopteri; Syngnathiformes; Syngnathidae
Exons: 3
Source: RefSeq, a predicted model, not a curated record
GUUUUUUUUUUGCUAUCUUGUGAUUCUUUCCUGCACACAAGCUUCCUGCCGAUGUCAAAAGGUCACAGUUCAAAGGUGGUGGAAGCUUGAUCCAAUUACAGGCUUGUCAUAUACUGCACAUGAUCCACCUGUGCCAUUUGCUACUCAAAGGCAAUGUGGGGAACUGUCUGGAAUGUAACACUGGAAUGUCACAUUUCAGAGUGAAACAGCGGGAGUGAAAGACGACCCGACAUCAUCUUAUGUGAGAGCGGAUAGCAAGAAAAUGAAGAAGAAUACUGGGGAAGAGACUGAGGACAGCAAGCAAGUUGUUCUGAUGCGUCCUUUUAUUUUUUUGCUGUCCUUUGAGUCUACACAUGGAUAUAAAAUUAGCAUAUCAUUGUAGAAAUGACAACAGUAAAUACAUUCUUUAUACGUAUUCGUGUUCUUGUUGUGUCCGUAGUCUCCACUUUGUUGUCAUGCUCCAUUUUCUUGCUGUCCUCUCUUCAAGAGACACAGCAUUGGAACAUU